Molecule: ribosomal RNA, 433 nt
Filed under: uncultured bacterium
Lineage: Bacteria
Description: partial 16S ribosomal RNA
Rfam family: Bacterial small subunit ribosomal RNA
Source: RNAcentral
AACGAACGCUGGCGGCAUGCCUAACACAUGCAAGUCGAACGAGACCUUCGGGUCUAGUGGCGCACGGGUGCGUAACGCGUGGGAACCUGCCCUUAGGUUCGGAAUAACCCCCCGAAAGGGGUGCUAAUACCGGAUAAUGUCUUCGGACCAAAGAUUUAUCGCCUUUGGAUGGGCCCGCGUUGGAUUAGCUAGUUGGUAGGGUAAAAGCCUACCAAGGCGACGAUCCAUAGAUGGUCUGAGAGGAUGAUCAGCCACACUGGGACUGAGACACGGCCCAGACUCCUACGGGAGGCAGCAGUGGGGAAUAUUGGACAAUGGGCGAAAGCCUGAUCCAGCAAUGCCGCGUGAGUGAUGAAGGCCUUAGGGUUGUAAAGCUCUUUUACCCGGGAUGAUAAUGACAGUACCGGGAGAAUAAGCUCCGGCUAACUCCGUG